NNNNNNNNNNNNNNAAGGCCAGAUCUCACCAUGGGGGGCAGAAGGAGCCCAGAUCCCACCCCAGGACAUAUCUGUGGGGCAGGGAGAAGGCCAGAUCUUACUAUGGGGGGCAGAAGGAGCCCAGAUCCCACCCCCAGACGUAUCCAUGGGGCAGGGAGAAGGCCAGAUCUGGCCAUGGGGGGCAGAAGGAGCCCAGAUCCCACCCCAGGACGUAUCCAUGGGGCAGGGAGAAGGCCAGAUCUCACCAUGGGGGGCAGAAGGAGCCCAGAUCCCACCCCAGGACGUAUCCAUGGGGCAACAGAACAGCCAGAUCUGGCCAUGGGGGGCAGAAGGAGCCCAGAUCCCACCCCGGGACAUAUCUGUGGGGCAGGGAGAAGGUCAGAUCUCACCAUGGGGGGCAGAAGGAGCCCAGAUCCCACCCCGGGACAUAUCUGUGGGGCAGGGAGAAGGCCAGAUCUGGCCAUGGGGGGCAGAAGGAGCCCAGAUCCCACCCCGGGACAUAUCUGUGGGACAGGGGGGCCAGAUCUGGCCAUGGGGGGCAGAAGGAGCCCAGAUCCCACCCCAGGAUGUAUCCAUGGGGCAGGAGAAGGCCAGAUCUGGCCAUGGAGGGCAGAAGGAGCCCAGAUUCCACCCCAGGACGUAUCUGUGGGGCAGGGAGAAGGCCAGAUCUGGCCGUGGGGGGCAGAAGGAGCCCAGAUCCCACCGUGGGACAUAUCUGUGGGGCAGGAGAAGAUCAGAUUUGACUGUAGAGGAGCAAAAGGAGCCCAGAUCCCACCCCGGGACGUAUCCAUGGGGCAACAGAACAGCCGGAUCUGGUCAUGGGGGGCAGAAGGAGCCCAGAUCCCACCCCAGGACGUAUCCAUGGGGCAGGGAGAAGGCCAGAUCUUACCAUGGGGAGCAGAAGGAGCCCAGAUCCCACCCCAGGACGUAUCCAUGGGGCAGGAAAAGGCCAGAUCUGGCCAUGGGGGGCAGAAGGAGCCCAGAUCCCACCCCAGGACGUAUCCAUGGGGCAGGGAGAAGACCAGAUCUUACCAUGGGGCAGCACCUGGGGAACAAGAGGUGACCAGAUCUCGCCGUUGGGGGGGGAGGUCGGACGGAAGCCGGCUCC
This 1108-nucleotide long non-coding RNA is filed under the name Apteryx owenii (little spotted kiwi). Its description in RNAcentral is "lncRNA (ENSAOWG00000005108.1)". The record is from RNAcentral. Lineage: Eukaryota; Metazoa; Chordata; Aves; Apterygiformes; Apterygidae.